GACGAACGCUGGCGGCGUGCUUAACACAUGCAAGUCGAACGGAAAGGCCCUGCUUUUGUGGGGUGCUCGAGUGGCGAACGGGUGAGUAACACGUGAGUAACCUGCCCUUGACUUUGGGAUAACUUCAGGAAACUGGGGCUAAUACCGGAUAGGAGCUCCUGCUGCAUGGUGGGGGUUGGAAAGUUUCGGCGGUUGGGGAUGGACUCGCGGCUUAUCAGCUUGUUGGUGGGGUAGUGGCUUACCAAGGCUUUGACGGGUAGCCGGCCUGAGAGGGUGACCGGCCACAAUGGGCCUGAGAUACGGCGCAGACUCCUACGGGAGGCAGCAGUGGGGAAUAUUGCACAAUGGGCGGAAGCCUGAUGCAGCAACGCUGCGUGCGGGAUGACGGCCUUCGGGUUGUAAACCGCUUUCGCCUGUGACGAAGCGUGAGUGACGGUAAUGGGUAAAGAAGCACCGGCUAACUACGUG
RNAcentral lists this ribosomal RNA (468 nucleotides) under uncultured bacterium. RNAcentral's name for it is "partial 16S ribosomal RNA". It matches the Rfam family "Bacterial small subunit ribosomal RNA", at positions 28 to 507 of the family's 1533-position model. The record is from RNAcentral.